This 424-nucleotide ribosomal RNA is filed under the name uncultured Alistipes sp. RNAcentral's name for it is "bacterial SSU rRNA". It matches the Rfam family "Bacterial small subunit ribosomal RNA", at positions 355 to 776 of the family's 1533-position model. The record is from RNAcentral. Lineage: Bacteria; Pseudomonadati; Bacteroidota; Bacteroidia; Bacteroidales; Rikenellaceae.
UGAGGAAUAUUGGUCAAUGGACGCAAGUCUGAACCAGCCAUGCCGCGUGCAGGAAGACGGCUCUAUGAGUUGUAAACUGCUUUUGUACGAGGGUAAACGCUCUUACGUGUAAGAGCCUGAAAGUAUCGUACGAAUAAGGAUCGGCUAACUCCGUGCCAGCAGCCGCGGUAAUACGGAGGAUCCAAGCGUUAUCCGGAUUUAUUGGGUUUAAAGGGUGCGUAGGCGGUUUGAUAAGUUAGAGGUGAAAUACCGGUGCUUAACACCGGAACUGCCUCUAAUACUGUUGAACUAGAGAGUAGUUGCGGUAGGCGGAAUGUAUGGUGUAGCGGUGAAAUGCUUAGAGAUCAUACAGAACACCGAUUGCGAAGGCAGCUUACCAAACUAUAUCUGACGUUGAGGCACGAAAGCGUGGGGAGCAAACAGG